Molecule: ribosomal RNA, 872 nt
Filed under: uncultured Haloarcula sp.
Lineage: Archaea; Methanobacteriati; Methanobacteriota; Halobacteria; Halobacteriales; Haloarculaceae
Description: bacterial SSU rRNA
Rfam family: Archaeal small subunit ribosomal RNA
Source: RNAcentral
UGCUAGUCGCACGGGCUUAGACCCGUGGCAUAUAGCUCAGUAACACGUGGCCAAACUACCCUACAGACCGCGAUAACCUCGGGAAACUGAGGCCAAUAGCGGAUAUAACUCUCAGGCUGGAGUGCCGAGAGUUAGAAACGUUCCGGCGCUGUAGGAUGUGGCUGCGGCCGAUUAGGUAGAUGGUGGGGUAACGGCCCACCAUGCCGAUAAUCGGUACGGGUUGUGAGAGCAAGAACCCGGAGACGGUAUCUGAGACAAGAUACCGGGCCCUACGGGGCGCAGCAGGCGCGAAACCUUUACACUGCACGACAGUGCGAUAGGGGGACUCCGAGUGCGAGGGCAUAUAGCCCUCGCUUUUCUGUACCGUAAGGUGGUACAGGAACAAGGACUGGGCAAGACCGGUGCCAGCCGCCGCGGUAAUACCGGCAGUCCAAGUGAUGGCCGAUAUUAUUGGGCCUAAAGCGUCCGUAGCCGGCCGGACAAGUCCGUUGGGAAAUCGACGCGCUCAACGCGUCGGCGUCCAGCGGAAACUGUCCGGCUUGGGGCCGGAAGACCUGAGGGGUACGUCCGGGGUAGGAGUGAAAUCCUGUAAUCCUGGACGGACCACCAAUGGGGAAACCACCUCAGGAAGACGGACCCGACGGUGAGGGACGAAAGCUAGGGUCUCGAACCGGAUUAGAUACCCGGGUAGUCCUAGCUGUAAACGAUGCUCGCUAGGUGUGCCGUAGGCUACGAGCCUGCGCUGCGCCCUAGGGAAGCCGAGAAGCGAGCCGCCUGGGAAGUACGUCUGCAAGGAUGAAACUUAAAGGAAUUGGCGGGGGAGCACCACAACCGGAGGAGCCUGCGGUUUAAUUGGAUUCAACGCCGGAAUC